Molecule: ribosomal RNA, 253 nt
Filed under: uncultured bacterium
Lineage: Bacteria
Description: partial 16S ribosomal RNA
Rfam family: Bacterial small subunit ribosomal RNA
Source: RNAcentral
UACGAAGGGGGCUAGCGUUGCUCGGGAUCACUGGGCGUAAAGGGCGCGUAGGCGGCCAUUCAAGUCGGAGGUGAAAGCCCAGGGCUCAACCCUGGAAUUGCCUUCGAUACUGUUUGGCUAGAGACCGGAAGAGGUAAGUGGAACUGCGAGUGUAGAGGUGAAAUUCGUAGAUAUUCGCAAGAACACCAGUGGCGAAGGCGGCUCACUGGCCCGGUACUGACGCUGAGGUGCGAAAGCGUGGGGAGCAAACAGG